Long non-coding RNA from Lagenorhynchus albirostris (white-beaked dolphin), 3257 nucleotides. RefSeq lists it as uncharacterized. Lineage: Eukaryota; Metazoa; Chordata; Mammalia; Artiodactyla; Delphinidae. The record is from RefSeq and is a predicted model, not a curated record. The transcript has 3 exons.
UUACAGCUUUCAAAGAAAAAAAAAAGCUGGGGCAAAUUUCAACCAGUAUUUCUAAAAUUCUCCUUCCUCCUUUACUCUUCAACUUAAAUUGUGUGUCAGACCACGUGACAUUAUCCCCGUAAGGCUCUGCUCACUUUUUUCAGUCUUUUUUUCCUCUCUGUGAUCACCAGGCAUAGUUUCUUUUGCUAGUCUAGUGUUCAGUGAUCUUUUCUUCUGCAGUUUCUAAUCUGCUGUUUAAUCCCCUCCAGUGACUUAUAAAAACAAGCUUUAAACUUUAGAAAGUUAGAUUUACAGAAAAGCUAGACAGUACAGAGUUCCCAUAUAUCCCACGCCCCAUUUCCCUAUUAUUAACACCCUGCAUUAGUGCAUAUGCCACAAGUAAUGAAUCAAUAUAUUGAUAGUUUAUUUUUAACCAAAGUCCCCAUUUUGUUCAGAUUUCCUUAGUUUUUACCUGAUAGGUCUUUCUAUUCCAGGACAAUCAUCUGAGACAUUCCAUUCCAUGCACGUCUCCUUACGUCAUUCUCGACAGUCUCAGACUUUCCUGGUUCCUGACGCCCCUGACAGCUCUGAGGACGGGGCUGCUUCUGUGUAGAAUGUUGCUCAACUUGGAUUCAUCUGAUGUUUUCCCCUCAUGAGGAGUUGGGGUUAUGUAAGUUUUUGGAGAGGAAGACCACAGAGGUGGCUUGCACUGCCCAUCACAGCACGGCAGGGCACACCCGUCAACGUGACUCAUCACUGCUGGUGGAGGCCUGUCUGUCAGGCGUCUCCACUGUACAGUCUCUCCCCCCACCCCCUCCUGUACUCCUCAGAAGGAAGUCUGUGUGCAGCCAACACUGAAGGGUGGGAAUUACGUGUCACCUCUUUGAAGGGAGUCAACAGAAAUAAUGUGGAAUUCUUCUGCAUGGGACACUUGUUCCAGAGAUAUUCUGUUCAAUUUCCUUCCUUUUUAUAUCUUCCAUUUCUGUCUUAACGUUUUCUCUCUACUUUGAGCAAACAGAGCAUCUUAGUAACACCUUUAAUGUCCUUGCUCGCCACUUCCAUCACGCCUGGAUCUGUUACCAUGACUCUUCCCUUCUUUGUUACAGGUCACAUUCUCAUGCCAAGUGGAUCAUCUAUUAGUUUUGACUAGAUCCUGGACACGAAGAAUUUUACUACAUUGUGUCUGAGUUUAGUUGUCUUCCUUUCAAGAGUACUGCACCCUCAGUUCUGCAGGAAAGGAUCAGCCUGAUCCUUUUUUUUUUUUUUGCGGUAUGCGGGCCUCUCACUGCUGUGGCCUCUCCCGUUGCGGAGCACAGGCUCCGGAUGUGCAGGCUCAGCGGCCAUGGCUCACGGGCCCAGCCACUCCACGGCACGUGGGAUCCUCCCAGACCGGGGCACGAACCCGCGUCCCCUGCAUCGGCAGGCGGACUCUCAACCACUGCGCCACCAGGGAAGCCCUGAUCCUUUUAAGGCUUGUUUUUAAGCUCGUUCACACUGCAUUUGGGUAGCCUUUUCUCUGGGGCUAAUCCAGCCCCACUUUCAAGGCGUGGCUGUUCUGAGGUCCGUGAAAGGCUCUGUAUGUUAGAGUGGCCUCUCCGCUCUGGCUGUGAGGAAUCAGAUGACUCGGCAGCUCUAGGUGAGCCUGGUGAUCGCUCACCACGCGGCUCCUCAGCGGCUGUUCUUUCCCUGGAAGUUCUGGGGCGGCUUCCCAGGCUCCCCACACGGAUGCGCAAAGCAGCACUCGACCAAGAUCCUCAGGGGCUCACGUGCAGCUCCUCCUCUCUGGUACCAGGCCUUGCAAAUUCUGGCUGUCUCAGUUUCUCCAAAGGCCGGGCUCUCAGAGUCUGAACACUGUUUCCAGAUAGAAAGCCUAGGCACCUGGAGGGCUCACCUGUCCUUCCUGUUUAACAAUCCUGAACACUGCUGGUGGGUUGAGUCCAUGUUGAAUGUGUCCUGCCAGCCUGACCUUAAGGAAGUCCUGGCUUACCCUUAGAUAUAACGGAAACCAGUGACGGGAAAUACGGCAGGACCAGGGAGAAGCUGUUGCCCAGCUGCUGGCUGGGUCGCAGCACAGGCCCCAUGACCAAAGCAUCCCCGCUCAUGUCCAGCCGCUGGCCCCAUGCUCGGGUCUCCAGGCCCAGCUGAACAUCUGCACACGGGUGACUGCUGACUCAGUAACUGCCGGUGCCCUCCCAGUGGGAGGAGACUGUGGGGCAGCUGCCAGCGCCUCCAAGAUCGGGAAACAUUCAGGGAGCCGGCCUCCCUCCUUCCACAGCCUGCAAAGCCAGCCCCUGCGAGCCCUGCAGAUCUCAAGGAAACCCUGCAGCCAAAGGUGCAGGCUCUGAGGUCUUCACCCGGCUCCCGUGAUAUCUGAUGGGAGCUGACCGCUCAUUCCAGGGUGGGUCCUAAGGACCCUGCUGACCACUCCCUGGUCCUUUAAUAAAGAAUUCUGAGCACACACAGCCCAGUGGAGCCAGGCAGGCUCAGACUCAGGUGUGCUGUGCCCAUCUACCCUCCCUCCAGCCCCUUCUGAGACCCCUGUGCCCCUCCUCACCCCCCCCGCCCACCCCAGGACUGUGGAGGGAGGAAAGAGACAGGAGGCCACACACAUAGCCUGCCGUUUAUAGAUCUCUGCCCGUCUCGUCCAUCCAUCCAUCCAUCUAUACAUUUACCUAUAUAUCUCUACGGAAGGGGAAGCGGGGGGACUCUAGUGUAAAAAUACAAACUACAGUUCUAUGAGCACCAAGUACUGGUUUAGUCCGAGUGUGGCUGGGGUCAAGCUAAGAAAGCAGGUAGGGGCUUCCCUGGUGGCGCAGUGGUUAAGAAUCCGCCUGCCAAUGCAGGGGACACAGAUUCGAGCCCUGGUCCGGGAAGAUCCCACAUGCCGCGGAGCAACUAAACCCGUGCACCACAACUACUGAGCCUGCGCUCUAGAGCCCGUGAGCCACAACUACUGAGCCCAUGUGCCUAGAGCCUAUGCUCCCUAACAAGAGAAGCCACGACAAUGAGAAGCCCGUGCACCGCAACAGAGUAGUCCCCGCUCGCCACAACUAGAGAAAGCCCGCACACAGCAACGAAGACCCAAGGCAGCCAAAAAUAAAUAAAUAUAUUUAUUAAAAAAAAAAAGAAAAGAAAAAGAAAGCAAGCAGGUGGGGUGGAGCUGGAGCCCGGACCCCACAGGUGGAGGCCUCGCGUUGCCCUCUACCCGGGAGACGCGGAGCAUGGCGAGGGCAGGCGUGAGCCAGAGCUGGACGCCUCUGGCUCCAGAGGUGAGCGAG